This 73-nucleotide transfer RNA is filed under the name Xenopus laevis (African clawed frog). It matches the Rfam family "tRNA". From Rfam's summary of the family: Transfer RNA (tRNA) molecules are approximately 80 nucleotides in length. Their secondary structure includes four short double-helical elements and three loops (D, anti-codon, and T loops). Further hydrogen bonds mediate the characteristic L-shaped molecular structure. tRNAs have two regions of fundamental functional importance: the anti-codon, which is responsible for specific mRNA codon recognition, and the 3' end, to which the tRNAs corresponding amino acid is attached (by aminoacyl-tRNA synthetases). tRNAs cope with the degeneracy of the genetic code in two manners: having more than one tRNA (with a specific anti-codon) for a particular amino acid; and 'wobble' base-pairing, i.e. permitting non-standard base-pairing at the 3rd anti-codon position. The record is from Rfam by way of RNAcentral. Lineage: Eukaryota; Metazoa; Chordata; Amphibia; Anura; Pipidae.
GGCACUGUGUCUUGAUGGUUAAAGUGCCUGUCUUGUAAACAGGAGAUCCUGAAUUUAAAUCUCAGCAGUGCCU